CGAAGGCUGACCCUGCCGGAGGGAUCAUUAAAGAAAUUUAAUUGAUUUGUCUGAGCUCGGAGAGAGACAUCUCUGGGGAGGACCAGUGUAGACACUCAGGAGGCUCCUAAAAUAUUUUCUCUGCUGUGAAUGCUAUUCAUCCUGCCUGCGCUUAAGUGCGCGGUUGGUGGGUGUUCUGCAGUGGGGGGAGGGAGCCGACAAAGACCUGGGAGUGUGCGUGGAUCUCUCUAUUCCAAAGGAGGUGUUUUAUCACACGACUCGACACUUUCUAAUUACUACACACAGUGGAGUUUACUUUACUACUAUUCUUUUGUUCGUUGGGGGAACGCUCUCUUUCGGGGGGGGAGUUCUCCCAGUGGAUGCAAACACAAACAAAUAUUUUUUUUAAAAUAUUUCAUCCACCCCAAAAUUUUUUUUAUAAAAAAACACUUUCAAAAUUUUCAACAUGGAACCCUUGGUUUCUCCAACGAAGAAAAAACCCACCAAAUGGCAAACCUAAUGGGGAUUGGCAAAAUUCCGGGAAUCACCAAACCUUUAACCCACCUUGGCCCCCUCGGUUAUCCCGGGGGCCUUGCCUGUUUGGGCGCCUUUUCCUUUCCAACACCUUGGGUUUGGGUAGGAGGUGUUCUUCUGUUUUUGAAGUUACUUUGAAUUGUAGGCCUAACAGUAUUUGGAACCAAGGGAAGCUUUCUCAAUUAUCCUGCUGCUCGUUGGCCGAGCGCGGGGUUAUACUGUAUUAGGUUUACAACUCGUUGUUGAUCUAGGGAAGGAUAGUGAUGUCUGUGCUGCUGGGCAAACGACGUCUUUAGUUUGACCUCAAAUCAGGUAGGGUACCCGCUGACUAGCAUAUCAUUAAAGCGCGAGAGAA
This 868-nucleotide ribosomal RNA is filed under the name Nakaseomyces glabratus. RNAcentral describes it as "eukaryotic LSU rRNA". The stretch from base 436 to 589 matches the Rfam family "5.8S ribosomal RNA". The record is from RNAcentral. Lineage: Eukaryota; Fungi; Ascomycota; Saccharomycetes; Saccharomycetales; Saccharomycetaceae.